AAAGAUCAAGGAAUCUGCAUAUUUUCCUGGAUUAUGCACACAUAAUCCUAAACAUUUAUAACAUUUAUAAAGCAGGGUGCUUCUCUAUAUGUGUGUGUGUGUGUGUAUAGGUAGGAGAAGCCAAAGGGAGAGAAAAGGAGCCCAAGUGGCCACGGGAGAAGGAGGAGGCGAUUUAUCAACACAAGAUUGCUUGAUAAAGACUUAAAAUAGUGUCUAACUACUAAAAUAAUGUAUAAAUAUUAAAAUAAAUAUAGCAUCCCUACUUCGCGGAUUUUCAGUUAUUGCAGGCAGUCCUAGAACCUAACCCCCACAAUAAGUGAGGGAACAAUGUAUAUAUAUAUAUAUAUUUCUUUAAUUUGAUUUCUAAAAUAAAUGUGCAUAUCGGUGUACCAACCAAAUCUAUUUUUGGUUUUAAUAUUUUGUAAGCUGCCUUCAGUUUCUGUAGUGGGAAAACCUGGGAUAUAAACAAAUGCUAAUGAUAAUGAAAAUGAUAAUGAGAGCAAUAAAUAUUGCUGUACAGAUACAGUAAGACUGAGCAGGAAUCAGUGUAACUGCUUAUGGUGAUAGUAUGGGGAGCCUCAUUGACAUUCAUGUUCUAUUACUCUUGUGCUCUCUUUUGUUUUCAGAGUGACAAAUGGCUUCUCUCCCCUUUUUCCUGCAAAUCUCAUUAAGGAGUAAAGCAAUGAAGCUUCAACCACCUCAUGAUCCGUUCUUGCCCUCCAGGGAUCAAAAGCAAACCCAAUGCAGGGUUCAGUUAACAGAGGAAUUUAUCAGCAACUGAACAAGAGGUUUGGGGAGAAAUCACCAUGAUUUACAAGAGUUGGCCUACAUCCAGAGAGCACCAUUAACCCAACCAACAAUUGAUCUGGACCAAGCUUGCCAUGGAUAAUGGAACUUGCAGUACCUUCACUGAUACUGUGGCCCCCACUAACAAUGGACUAGGAUAAAACUUGGCACAGAAGCCAACUGAACAUACUGCAGGGGUUAGUGGGAACUGACCUUGAUUUUGGGAGUUUUAGUUCACCUGCACCCAGAAAGCACUGAACCCAGCUGAUGUCAGAUCUGAAUCAAACAUGGCACACAGACCCAACAUGGCCAACUGUGCAUACAGGCCUGGUUUGGGGGUAACUGACCUCAGAUCUGGGAAUUGUAGAUCACCUUUAUCCAGAGAGCCCUGAACCAAGCCAACAAUGGAUCUGGACUAAACUUGGCGCAUAGACUCAACAUGGCCAACUGGAAAUACUAGCAGGGUUUGGGGGUGACUGCUCUGGGAAUCUGAGAGUUGUAGUUCACCCUUAUCCAGACAGCACUGAACCCAGCCAACGACCGAUCUGGACCAAACUUCAAUGAUAUUGUCUAACGUCCCAAAACAAACAAUGCCUUCUUCUAACAACCCGGACGACCGAUCUGGACCAAACUUCAAUGAUAUUGCCUAACGUCCCAAAACAAACAAUGCCUUCUUCUAACAACCCGGACGA
Molecule: long non-coding RNA, 1478 nt
Filed under: Anolis carolinensis (green anole)
Lineage: Eukaryota; Metazoa; Chordata; Lepidosauria; Squamata; Anolidae
Description: lncRNA (ENSACAG00000041174.1)
Source: RNAcentral